Molecule: ribosomal RNA, 253 nt
Filed under: uncultured bacterium
Lineage: Bacteria
Description: partial 16S ribosomal RNA
Rfam family: Bacterial small subunit ribosomal RNA
Source: RNAcentral
UACGGAGGGGGCAAGCGUUGUUCGGAAUUAUUGGGCGUAAAGAGUAUGUAGGCGGCUAUUUAAGUCAGGCGUGCAAGCCCACGGCUCAACCGUGGAAUUGCGUUUGAAACUAUUUAGCUUGAGUACAGGAGAGGAAGGCGGAAUUCCCAGUGUAGCGGUGAAAUGCAUUGAUAUUGGGAAGAACACCGGUGGCGAAGGCGGCCACCUGGACUAAUACUGACACUGAGGUGCGAAAGCGUGGGGAGCAAACAGG